RNAcentral lists this ribosomal RNA (464 nucleotides) under uncultured bacterium. RNAcentral's name for it is "partial 16S ribosomal RNA". It matches the Rfam family "Bacterial small subunit ribosomal RNA", at positions 28 to 507 of the family's 1533-position model. The record is from RNAcentral.
GACGAACGCUGGCGGCGUGCUUAACACAUGCAAGUCGAACGGAAAGGCCCUGCUUGCAGGGUACUCGAGUGGCGAACGGGUGAGUAACACGUGGGUGAUCUGCCCUGCACUUCGGGAUAAGCCUGGGAAACUGGGUCUAAUACCGGAUAGGAGCCAUUUUUAGUGUGAUGGUUGGAAAGUUUUUUCGGUGUAGGAUGAGCUCGCGGCCUAUCAGCUUGUUGGUGGGGUAAUGGCCUACCAAGGCGGCGACGGGUAGCCGGCCUGAGAGGGUGGACGGCCACAUUGGGACUGAGAUACGGCCCAGACUCCUACGGGAGGCAGCAGUGGGGAAUAUUGCACAAUGGGCGUAAGCCUGAUGCAGCGACGCCGCGUGGGGGAUGACGGCCUUCGGGUUGUAAACUCCUUUCGCUAGGGACGAAGCUUUUGUGACGGUACCUAGAUAAGAAGCACCGGCUAACUACGUG